ACGGUUAACGGAGCGAAAGCGACGUUCAACCGCAAAACAAGCAGAGGGGGCUUAGUGGUGGGGUGACUGCGUACCUUUUGUAUAAUGGGUCAGCGACUUAUAUUCUGUAGCAAGGUUAACCGUAUAGGGGAGCCGGAGGGAAACCGAGUCUUAAUUGGGCGUUAAGUUGCAGGGUAUAGACCCGAAACCCGGUGAUCUAGCCAUGGGCAGGUUGAAGGUUGGGUAACACUAACUGGAGGACCGAACCGACUAAUGUUGAAAAAUUAGCGGAUGACCUGUGGCUGGGGGUGAAAGGCCAAUCAAACCGGGAGAUAGCUGGUUCUCCCCGAAAGCUAUUUAGGUAGCGCCUCGUGAAUUCAUCUCCGGGGGUAGAGCACUGUUUCGGCUAGGGGGCCAUCCCGGCUUACCAACCCGAUGCAAACUGCGAAUACCGGAGAAUGUUAUCACGGGAGACACACGGCGGGUGCUAACGUCCGUCGUGAAGAGGGAAACAACCCAGACCGCCAGCUAAGGUCCCAAAGUCAUGGUUAAGUGGGAAACGAUGUGGGAAGGCCCAGACAGCCAGGAUGUUGGCUUAGAAGCAGCCAUCAUUUAAAGAAAGCGUAAUAGCUCACUGGUCGAGUCGGCCUGCGCGGAAGAUGUAACGGGGCUAAACCAUGCACCGAAGCUGCGGCAGCGAACGUAUCACCCAAGACAACUUUACGGAGUUGACGAUUGACGGAGCGAAGCGACGUCAAAGCGUUCAUUAAAGUCGAGUUGGCUUAGGGAUACGUUCGUUGGGUAGGGGAGCGUUCUGUAAGCCUGUGAAGGUGUGUCGUGAGGCAUGCUGGAGGUAUCAGAAGUGCGAAUGCUGACAUAAGUAACGAUAAAGCGGGUGAAAAGCCCGCUCGCCGGAAGACCAAGGGUUCCUGUCCAACGUUAAUCGGGGCAGGGUGAGUCGACCCCUAAGGCGAGGCCGAAAGGCGUAGUCGAUGGGAAACGGGUUAAUAUUCCCGUACUUGGUGUUACUGCGAAGGGGGGACGGAGAAGGCUAUGUUGGCCGGGCGACGGUUGUCCCGGUUUAAGCGUGUAGGUGUGUGUUCCAGGUAAAUCCGGUUCACUUUAACACUGAGGCGUGACGACGAGGCACUACGGUGCUGAAGCAACAAAUGCCCUGCUUCCAGGAAAAGCCUCUAAGCAUCAGGUAACAC
Molecule: ribosomal RNA, 1190 nt
Filed under: Salmonella enterica subsp. enterica serovar Typhimurium
Lineage: Bacteria; Pseudomonadati; Pseudomonadota; Gammaproteobacteria; Enterobacterales; Enterobacteriaceae
Description: partial 23S ribosomal RNA
Rfam family: Bacterial large subunit ribosomal RNA
Source: RNAcentral